Molecule: ribosomal RNA, 468 nt
Filed under: uncultured bacterium
Lineage: Bacteria
Description: partial 16S ribosomal RNA
Rfam family: Bacterial small subunit ribosomal RNA
Source: RNAcentral
GACGAACGCUGGCGGCGUGCUUAACACAUGCAAGUCGAACGGAAAGGCCCUGCUAUUGUGGGGUGCCCGAGGGGCGAACGGGUGAGUAACACGAGAGUAACCUGCCCUUGACUUUGGGAUAACUUCAGGAAACUGGGGCUAAUACCGGAUAGGAGCUCAUGCUGCAUUGAGGGGGUUGGAAAGUUUCGGCGGGUGGGGAUGGACGCGCGGGUUACCAGCUAGUUGGUGGGGGAGUGGCAGACCAAGGCUUAGACGGGUAGCCGGCCUGGGAGGGUGAACGGCCACCUUGGUACUGCGGUACGGACCAGACUCCAACGGUGGGCAGCAGUCGGAAGUCUUGCCCAAUGGGCGGACGCCUGAUGCGGCGGCGCCGCGUGCGGGAAGACGGCCUUCGGGUUGUAAACAGCUUUCGCCUGUGACGAAGCGUGAGUGACGGUAAUGAGUAAAGAAGCACCGGCUAACUACGUG